GUCACGGUGGUGUAGCGGUUAGAACGCUGGCCUUGUAAUCCUGGGGUCUCGGGUUCGAUUCCCGGCGGUGCCC
Molecule: transfer RNA, 73 nt
Filed under: Zootermopsis nevadensis
Lineage: Eukaryota; Metazoa; Arthropoda; Insecta; Blattodea; Termopsidae
Rfam family: tRNA
About the family: Transfer RNA (tRNA) molecules are approximately 80 nucleotides in length.
Source: Rfam by way of RNAcentral